Molecule: ribosomal RNA, 232 nt
Filed under: uncultured bacterium
Lineage: Bacteria
Description: partial 16S ribosomal RNA
Rfam family: Bacterial small subunit ribosomal RNA
Source: RNAcentral
CGGACGGGUGAGUAAUGUCUGGGAAACUGCCCGAUGGAGGGGGAUAACUACUGGAAACGGUAGCUAGUACCGCAUAACGUCGCAAGACCAAAGAGGGGGACCUUCGGGCCUCUUGCCAUCGGAUGUGCCCAGAUGGGAUUAGCUAGUAGGUGGGGUAAUGGCUCACCUAGGCGACGAUCCCUAGCUGGUCUGAGAGGAUGACCAGCCACACUGGAACUGAGACACGGUCCAG